Molecule: ribosomal RNA, 173 nt
Filed under: Melamphaes suborbitalis (shoulderspine bigscale)
Lineage: Eukaryota; Metazoa; Chordata; Actinopteri; Beryciformes; Melamphaidae
Description: partial small subunit ribosomal RNA
Source: RNAcentral
GACCGCGGUUAGACGAGCGACCCAAGCUGAUUGCCUCCGGCGUAAAGCGUGGUUAAGGGAUAAAAAAUAACUAAAGCCGAAUGCCCUCAAGGCUGUUAUACGCAUCCGAAGGUACGAAGCCCCAUCACGAAAGUGGCUUUAAUUCUCCCCCUGACUCCACGAAAGCUACGCAA